AUCAUUAGCUGUACGUCGUCAAACUUCAGGGAGUGAGUGGAAAUCAUUCUGAUCGUACAACGCAGGCGAUCCGUUGCCUUUGCCGUAUGUCACGGCAAAAACUAGCUUAUUGUUCGCGGUGACUUCUACAAACAAGGAAGCUUUGCGCAGCAAUGAUUCAGUCUGAUAUAUCAACGGGAGGGAUGGAUAUACGCAACGAUGCGUUGUAAGGGCUCCGUGUUUCUCUAUUCUUGUGACUGUGAUAUCGAAUUUCCAACUGUAGAAACAGAGGCUUGCGGAUGUCGUAAUCACAAAGUGUAUGCUUCGCCGACGAACGUGCAUAUUUCUUCGUGUUCGGCGCACGUGUGGAAGCACAGGUUGCUUCGUUGUUAUGGUGCGGAACGUGUCGGCUCUUGUCCCGAAAAAUUGAUAUUCCAUAGUCUCUGUCACUAAAUAUUGACCGUGACUGUUUCCCUUCAUUUGUUCGUGAAGACUGUAUCCCGUAAUGUGGGUGCAGUGACCGCGCACUGAUACAUUGUAGUGACGGAUAGAACCGCCUUCCGCAACUAUAUCGAGCCACAAAUUGUUCAGGAACUUUUCGGGGAUUUUAGGAGUGGCCACGAAGACGAUAGAACCUGUCCACUGUGGUGGCGUCGGUAGACGGCAACUCGGUGUGCGAAAAAAAACUCCUCUUGCAUGGUAGAACGACUGGGGGACACCGUCUUUCAACACCCAAGCGAAUGUUUUGGCUACGAAAUACAGAGGGGCAUUGACUGCUUUUGGGCCGAUGGCAGUGAGAUCCACAACUGACCGGAGAAACAGGAACAUGCUAAGGUAGGUCCUGAAAAGGCAAGUGGCGACGCUGUGGAGGUGAAAUGGCAUCUUCAUAUUGCGACACAGAGGGAGUAAAUAACAGCUUGCACCGAUGCUCAGGUAGGUGACAGCAAGCACCUUCCAAGAGGCGCAUCCGGCCGUGUGCUUUGACGUCCCACCGCCAACGGAUGUUGCUUGAAUUUCCUUCUCAGGAGAAUCCAGUGUAUCACAUUACAGCGAAUGUAUUACUGAGAGAUUUCUUCAGACGGGGGCUUGAUUGUGUAUCAUUUUGAUCUCCAGAGGAGUGUAGCUGACACAUUUACGUCACCUUAUCCUCACUGUAGUUGGCGAACGUAGCGUAUGAUUUCGCUUGAGUCAUAUCAUAGUUGUAUCAAUGUGCGCCGCCACUUCCACUAGCCUUCGUGCAAAAACAAAAAACAACUUCAAUCAAUAGAAAACAUCAUAGUCCCUCUUGCGCGCACAAACUGGCGUUUCUUGCCUUU
Molecule: long non-coding RNA, 1295 nt
Filed under: Toxoplasma gondii VEG
Lineage: Eukaryota; Apicomplexa; Conoidasida; Eucoccidiorida; Sarcocystidae
Source: RNAcentral